This 447-nucleotide ribosomal RNA is filed under the name uncultured bacterium. RNAcentral's name for it is "partial 16S ribosomal RNA". It matches the Rfam family "Bacterial small subunit ribosomal RNA", at positions 29 to 523 of the family's 1533-position model. The record is from RNAcentral.
AACGAACGCUGGCGGCAGGCUUAACACAUGCAAGUCGAGCGCCCCGCAAGGGGAGCGGCAGACGGGUGAGUAACACGUGGGAACGUGCCCAAAGGUACGGAACAACUCCGGGAAACUGGAGCUAAUACCGUAUGUGCCCGAGAGGGGAAAGAUUUAUCGCCUUUGGAUCGGCCCGCGUCGGGUUAGCUAGUUGGCGGUGGAAUGGACCACCAAGGCGACGAUCAGUAGCUGGUCUGAGAGGAUGACCAGCCACACUGGGACUGAGACACGGCCCAGACUCCUACGGGAGGCAGCAGUGGGGAAUAUUGGACAAUGGGCGCAAGCCUGAUCCAGCCAUGCCGCGUGAGUGAUGAAGGCCUUAGGGUUGUAAAGCUCUUUCGCCGAGGACGAUAAUGACGGUACUCGGAUAAGAAGCCCCGGCUAACUUCGUGCCAGCCGCCGCCGUAA